AACGUAGGGGGCGAGCGUUGUCCGGAAUUACUGGGCGUAAAGAGCUCGUAGGCGGUAGUUCAAGUCAGGUGUGAAAUCCGACGGCUUAACCGGAGGACUGCACCUGAUACUGGGCUGCUAGAGGUAAGGAGAGGAAGGUGGAAUUCCCGGUGUAGCGGUGAAAUGCGUAGAGAUCAGGAGGAACACCGAUGGCGAAGGCAGCCCCCUGGGCCUGUACUGACGCUCAUGCACGAAAGCGUGGGGAGCAAACAGG
RNAcentral lists this ribosomal RNA (253 nucleotides) under uncultured microorganism. Its description in RNAcentral is "partial 16S ribosomal RNA". It matches the Rfam family "Bacterial small subunit ribosomal RNA", at positions 524 to 776 of the family's 1533-position model. The record is from RNAcentral.